RNAcentral lists this long non-coding RNA (1001 nucleotides) under Homo sapiens (human). Its description in RNAcentral is "long independently transcribed non-coding RNA 2784 (LINC02784)". The record is from RNAcentral. Lineage: Eukaryota; Metazoa; Chordata; Mammalia; Primates; Hominidae.
AAGCAGCCAUCUUGGACCAUAGGUGAAAGCAGCAUUUUGGGGAUAGUGGAAACUCAAGAAAGAGGCAGCCAGGUUUCUGGUAGUCAUGGAGAUGUCAUACCAGCCUGAAUUGCCUGUGUUUAUUGCAUGUGAGAAAGAGGAAGACUUUUACCUUAUUUGCCUUAUUAUUACCUAAACAUUUGCCUUACUUAAGCCAUUGAUAUUUGAGGAAGUCUGUCCCUUGCGACUGAAACUAAUCCUAACACAAAAGGAAACAGAGGCUCAGAGAAGCUAAGACAUUUGCACAGGACCACAGCUGGGCUGAGAAGAAAAAUUGAAUACUGAUGAGAAAGAAGAUGGAUAGAAGAGAGAGACAUGCAACUGGGACUCUAACAGAAAUGCCAUUCUCCCUGGGAAGGGACUAGCCCAGUCAGCAGCCACCUCACUCCAUGAGUUGGUUCUGAGGCACCCUCUGUGCCAGGCAGCUCGGGACACAAGGUGAAUUAGAUCCAACCUCACAGCCAUGUGAGGCAGACAGAGUGACACAGACUCUGUCACCAGAAGAGCAAGCAUUUGAACGGGCUGUCAGAUGGAGAGCCCAAGCACUUUCUGCUCUAGGUUCCCUCCCUCUGCUGCAGUUGGGAGAGGCUGGGCUGGGAAGCCCACAUGAGCCGUUGCAGCUCCCUGCAAGGGACUCUCACCUCCUCUCUCAGGCCUCCUCUCCCUGGGCUCCUGGCCUGGCCCUUCACACCUUUCUCCAACUCCAUCAUGACUGCAGGCUUUGGCCUUCCCUCAGGAAAAGAACGAAUUUUUCUCCACAAAAUUCUAUAAUCUCUUCCAGCCUCUCCUUUUAGCUACUGUCAUAUCCAUUCACCUAAGUGAUAACAGAAGACCACAAGUCAGAUGACUCAUAUAUUCACCUAUUCAAUAAACACUCCAGAGCAUUCCUCUGGCCUAGGACUGAUGAGUCUCACAAUCUUCUAAGCAAAAAAUAGAACAAAAAACAAAAAAACCUGCCAGAC